RNAcentral lists this long non-coding RNA (1342 nucleotides) under Sphaeramia orbicularis (orbiculate cardinalfish). Its description in RNAcentral is "lncRNA (ENSSORG00005016825.1)". The record is from RNAcentral. Lineage: Eukaryota; Metazoa; Chordata; Actinopteri; Kurtiformes; Apogonidae.
GAUUCAGGUGUGAUCGGUGGUGUGGUGGUGAGUGUAAUAUUGCUGAUAGCUGUGGUUUUACUCUUCGUGUACAGACACAAACUUCCCUGGAUACAAGGCUCAUCAGAUUGGAAAACCAAUUCUGGAGACAAUACAGAGGAAGUUCAGGGGAAUCGUUGUGAGGAACUCCAGGAAAAGACGACCCAGGCAGGAAAUGUAGUGUCCUCUGUUUAUGCCACUGUCAACCCUCCUCCAGAUCUGAUACACUACGCCAGCGUCAACUUCCAGAACGACUCUGCUGUGGUCUUGACAGGGUUGGAAACACCAUCUAAGCCAGAAAUAAACACCUCAACUGAAUACUCCUCUGUCCGUAAGAAUGCUGGUCCACUGGCACCAGAGACGAUUCUUUAUUCUACAGUCACAAAAUCUGGAGAACCAUGAAAGAAGCAAAAUUCCACGAUGCAGAGUAAACACUGUUUAUAUACCAAGAAUAUUACAAGUGUUUCUCUGCAUUUAGUUUAGAUAGUUUAGUGAGAUUUGUAAUAACAGACUUCAUUGUCUAGGACAAUAUAUAUUGCGUUACAAGCUAGUUAGUGCAUGUAGUGUAGUUUGUCAGUGAACACCAGCUAUAGGUGUAAAUAUUAACAAAUGUUUGUAUGUUGAAUAAAAAAAAAUGAGAGUUCUGCUCACUCACUGAAAAGUCACUGAGAAUAUGUAUAGCACACAGCUACAUGUAUAAGACGUAGAGAAACAGAAGUCUGUACAUAAACAUAUAAAAUAAGGCUUCUGUUUUUUCAGAUAUUCUGUAAUGACACAAAAAUUAUGGAUUUUUCUGGUUGUCAAUAUAAUCCUCCUUUUUACCGAGGAGAAACAAUACUUAACAUACUAAUGACCCAAAGAGUGCAUAAUUUAUGUGGCUGAAACGGUGUCUAUUGGUUUUUUGUAGAUACAACAGGCAUUUCUGUUUAUUGACACUAUACAGCAUCUUAGUUGAUGGAUCAUUGUUAAGUUGGCAAUUAUUCACAUAGUAGCAUAUGUUUAUGUGUGUAUAUAAAAUGCCCUAAUGCUAAGUGAAUAAUCUGUCAGUACCGCAGUGCUGGCUGAUCUGAACCGUCCCUGUUGUGUAAAUGCAUGUAGUUAUCGUCAGUAUGUAUGUAGUAGUAUGUAUGUAGAUACAUUAACAGAUUCAAACCACCUCUGAAAAUCAUUUAUUCCUGCUCAGUCAGUCUUGUAUGUAGGCUGGUAUCAGUUGUUGUUGGUCAGUUGCUGUUUGGAUGUCUGUUUAUUAUUGCUGGCUGUAAAUGAAAUUGCCCCCCAGGGUUAAUAAAGAUUGCUUGUACUUAAUACUAUGAUUUUAGACUGA